CCCUUAGACGUUCUGGGCCGCACGCGCGCUACACUGACCAGUGCAACAAGCAUCCGUCCUUGGCCGACAGGCCCGGGCAAUCUUUGAACGCUGGUCGUGAUGGGGAUAGACUUUUGCAAUUUUUGGUCUUCAACGAGGAAUUCCUAGUAAACGCAAGUCAUCAACUUGCAUUGAUUACGUCCCUGCCCUUUGUACACACCGCCCGUCGCGCCUACCGAUUGAAUGGUCCGGUGAAGCCUCCGGAUUGGCGCGCACCUCGGUGCCGCCGAGAAGUUGGCUAAACCUUACCAUUUAGAGGAAGGUGAANUCGUAACA
RNAcentral lists this ribosomal RNA (315 nucleotides) under uncultured eukaryote. Its description in RNAcentral is "partial 18S ribosomal RNA". It matches the Rfam family "Eukaryotic small subunit ribosomal RNA", at positions 1470 to 1796 of the family's 1831-position model. The record is from RNAcentral.